CCUACGGGAGGCAGCAGUGGGGAAUAUUGGACAAUGGGCGAAAGCCUGAUCCAGCCAUGCCGCGUGUGUGAAGAAGGCCUUCGGGUUGUAAAGCACUUUCAGUGGGGAAGAAAGCCUUGGGGCUAAUACCCUCGAGGAAGGACAUCACCCACAGAAGAAGCACCGGCUAACUCCGUGCCAGCAGCCGCGGUAAUACGGAGGGUGCGAGCGUUAAUCGGAAUUACUGGGCGUAAAGCGCGCGUAGGCGGUCUGAUAAGCCGGUUGUGAAAGCCCCGGGCUCAACCUGGGAACGGCAUCCGGAACUGUCAGGCUAGAGUGCAGGAGAGGAAGGUAGAAUUCCCGAUGUAGCAGUGAAAUGCGUAGAGAUCGGGAGGAAUACCAGUGGCGAAGGCAGCCUUCUGGACUGACACUGACGCUGAGGUGCGAAAGCGUGGGUAGCAAACAGGAUUAGAUACCCUUGUAGUC
This 465-nucleotide ribosomal RNA is filed under the name Vreelandella stevensii. RNAcentral describes it as "partial 16S ribosomal RNA". It matches the Rfam family "Bacterial small subunit ribosomal RNA", at positions 338 to 795 of the family's 1533-position model. The record is from RNAcentral. Lineage: Bacteria; Pseudomonadati; Pseudomonadota; Gammaproteobacteria; Oceanospirillales; Halomonadaceae.